This 497-nucleotide ribosomal RNA is filed under the name uncultured bacterium. Its description in RNAcentral is "partial 16S ribosomal RNA". It matches the Rfam family "Bacterial small subunit ribosomal RNA", at positions 28 to 507 of the family's 1533-position model. The record is from RNAcentral.
GAUGAACGCUGGCGGCGUGCCUAAUACAUGCAAGUCGAGCGAACAGACGAGGAGCUUGCUCCUCUGACGUUAGCGGCGGACGGGUGAGUAACACGUGGAUAACCUACCUAUAAGACUGGGAUAACUUCGGGAAACCGGAGCUAAUACCGGAUAAUAUAUUGAACCGCAUGGUUCAAUAGUGAAAGACGGUUUUGCUGGCACUUAUAGAGGGAUCCGCGCCGCAUUAGCUAGUUGGUAAGGUAACGGCUUACCAAGGCGACGAUGCGUAGCCGACCUGAGAGGGUGAUCGGCCACACUGGAACUGAGACACGGUCCAGACUCCUACGGUAGGCAGCAGUAGGGAAUCUUCCGCAAUGGGCGAAAGCCUGACGGAGCAACGCCGCGUGAGUGAUGAAGGUCUUCGGAUCGUAAAACUCUGUUAUUAGGGAAGAACAAAUGUGUAAGUAACUAUGCACGUCUUGACGGUACCUAAUCAGAAAGCCACGGCUAACUACGUG